UUGUGUCGCCAGACGCAUUGCCCGGUAGCUAAGUUCGGAAUUGAUAAGCGCUGAAAGCAUCUAAGCGCGAAGCGAGCCCUGAGAUGAGUCUUCCCUGAUACUUUAAGUAUCCUAAAGGGUUGUUCGAGACUAGAACGUUGAUAGGCAGGGUGUGUAAGCGUUGUGAGGCGUUGAGCUAACCUGUACUAAUUGCCCGUGAGGCUUAAC
This 207-nucleotide ribosomal RNA is filed under the name Vibrio cholerae. RNAcentral's name for it is "partial 23S ribosomal RNA". It matches the Rfam family "Bacterial large subunit ribosomal RNA", at positions 2721 to 2925 of the family's 2925-position model. Lineage: Bacteria; Pseudomonadati; Pseudomonadota; Gammaproteobacteria; Vibrionales; Vibrionaceae. The record is from RNAcentral.